Molecule: ribosomal RNA, 488 nt
Filed under: uncultured bacterium
Lineage: Bacteria
Description: partial 16S ribosomal RNA
Rfam family: Bacterial small subunit ribosomal RNA
Source: RNAcentral
GACGAACGCUGGCGGCGUGCUUAACACAUGCAAGUCGAACGGAAAGGCCCUGCUUUUGUGGGGUGCUCGAGUGGCGAACGGGUGAGUAACACGUGAGUAACCUGCCCUUGACUUUGGGAUAACUUCAGGAAACUGGGGCUAAUACCGGAUAGGAGCUCCUGCUGCAUGGUGGGGGUUGGAAAGUUUCGGCGGUUGGGGAUGGACUCGCGGCUUAUCAGCUUGUUGGUGGGGUAGUGGCUUACCAAGGCUUUGACGGGUAGCCGGCCUGAGAGGGUGACCGGCCACAUUGGGACUGAGAUACGGCCCAGACUCCUACGGGAGGCAGCAGUGGGGAAUAUUGGACAAUGGGCGAAAGCCUGAUCCAGCCAUGCCGCGUGUGUGAAGAAGGUCUUCGGAUUGUAAAGCACUUUAAGUUGGGAGGAAGGGCAGUAAGUUAAUACCUUGCUGUUUUGACGUUACCAACAGAAUAAGCACCGGCUAACUUCGUG